Molecule: long non-coding RNA, 1493 nt
Filed under: Setaria italica (foxtail millet)
Lineage: Eukaryota; Viridiplantae; Streptophyta; Magnoliopsida; Poales; Poaceae
Description: long non-coding RNA (SITA_LNC003743)
Source: RNAcentral
GUGGGGGGUGGGGGGGGGGACCAAAUAUUGUUGAAUUGACCUCUGCCUUCUCCAUAAGCUUCACUGUAAGAUGAAGUAAAUUUCUCAUACUCCCUCCUAUGCGCAUGCAUUGAUGGUUUUACUGCCGUACUGUGAAUUUUAGAUGCGCUACUUGGUAAUCCCUUCACUUGAUACCUGCAGAUUGAGGCCUUGUAGCUUUGUGCACUAAUGCACUUUACCCACCAUAAGGUGUUGUAAGUUUGUGCGCAUGCUUAGACCUAUAGACGUUUGAUUUUAUCAAUUAGUUUUGUUCAAAUUUGGCACAGCUGGCAAUUGUAAAGAUAUUGAAUAACAGGGAUACAUGUGAUGUGAUGACAUAUUACUCUUUUUGCUUGCAGGUAUAUCACUUGCGGGUGAUGAGGAACUUCUAGCUGGUCCAAAAGAGGCACAGGCACCUAAGAGAGAUGAAUGGAUGACCACACUGCCACCUGAGAGAAAAGUAAAUGAUAAAAAAUAAUUACUUGUUCAACAUUCACCAAAAUAUGCUUACUUUGUGUUCUCUUACAUUUAUGUAAACAAUAUAUUUUUCUUCUCACAGGCAGGAGUGCCUAUGCAUUCUACUAAAUCAUUUAGUAUGAAUGGUAAAGAAGGACGAGGAGACACAAGUGUCUGGACUGAUACUCCUCUUGAUAGAGCGCAAAAAGCACAACAAAGGUCAGUAUUAUUAUAGUAUUUAUUCUUGUUUAUGAUCAUUUGUUUGACAUUUUUCGUACCUGCUAGUGUGGUGGAAUUAAUUGGCAUCAUGUGCACAGUACUGGACAAAAAGCCCAUAUAGCAUAUUUGGAUUCAUGUGUUGCAACCUACAUGUAGAGCCACCAUACAAAGUAUUCAGAUUCCACUUAUUUCCUAAGGCUGGGUGCUGCAAACAAUAAAUCAAUGAGAAAUGCUUUUACACCCAUUUAGAAGUUGUCUCAAUCACGUUUGCUCAUAGAAAUGAUGAAAAAUGCAAACUACCAGGCAAAUGAAUGCAGCAACUGGGCACUGGGUGCUUACUUGUGUGUUUUGGGCUUACAUCGCUGUACGCAAUCAUGAGGCUAAAAUAGUGGCUUUGCUGGAUGAUAUGGUUGCAGUUUCUGAACAACCUGUAGGUAAGAGUGAUGGAAAUUUGAACUUUGAGUGGAGGGAAUGGGAAAUGACGGGAGGGAAGAAUUCAAUCCCAUGUUCGGAUUAUAGGAAUGGAAAAUGAGAAGGGAUAGGGAUAGGGAAAGGGAAAUGUGGGCAUCUUUUCCCACCAUUGGGUUACGACGGGAAAUACGCCAACGCAAGCGAGAUGCUGUGGCUGCAGCUGCUUGCCUCUCUCGUCACCGCAAGCCAGAGCUCCACCUCGCAUCCCGCGCAGGCUGCCGGAGCCGCACCUCGCCCCACCAUCGCGUACGGCUCGAGCCGUCACCAUAUUAGGGGCUAGAGGUGCUGCUUGCCGUGGGUGGGGACACACCUUGUGGCACAAGGCACCG